CCUACGGGAGGCAACAGUGAGGAAUAUUGGUCAAUGGGCGGAAGCCUGAACCAGCCAAGUCGCGUGAGGGAUGAAGGUUCAAUGGAUCGUAAACCUCUUUUAUAAGGGAAUAAAGUGCGGGACGUGUCCCGUUUUGUAUGUACCUUAUGAAUAAGGAUCGGCUAACUCCGUGCCAGCAGCCGCGGUAAUACGGAGGAUCCGAGCGUUAUCCGGAUUUAUUGGGUUUAAAGGGUGCGGAGGCGGCCUUUUAAGUCAGCGGUGAAAGUCUGUGGCUCAACCAUAGAAUUGCCGUUGAAACUGGGCGGCUUGAGUAUGUUUGAGGCAGGCGGAAUGCGUGGUGUAGCGGUGAAAUGCUUAGAUAUCACGCAGAACCCCGAUUGCGAAGGCAGCCUACCAAGCCAUGACUGACGCUGAUGCACGAAAGCGUGGGGAUCAAACAGGAUUAGAUACCCCGGUAGUC
Molecule: ribosomal RNA, 460 nt
Filed under: uncultured bacterium
Lineage: Bacteria
Description: partial 16S ribosomal RNA
Rfam family: Bacterial small subunit ribosomal RNA
Source: RNAcentral